This is a long non-coding RNA of Pogoniulus pusillus (Red-fronted tinkerbird), 811 nucleotides long. RefSeq lists it as uncharacterized. The record is from RefSeq and is a predicted model, not a curated record. NCBI's taxonomy places the organism in Eukaryota, Metazoa, Chordata, Aves, Piciformes, Lybiidae. The transcript has 2 exons.
UGCCAAAACCAGCUAGUCACUAAGAGGACCAAGUGUGUCAUAUCCCACAGCAUGUCCCUUAAACCUCCACCCACCAUACUGAGAGUUCUCUCAAAAUACAAGGGAAAUGCUUUUAGGAAUCUGGAGUAACAACUUGAAAAUGUACUCUACUGGCAGUGGUGACUGCAGUCCUGCAGAGACACUUCUGGUGAACUUGCAUUUCUUGGUGACUCUGAUACGCCUCCACUUAGUGAAGUCUUGGGCAGUGUCAUGGGCCUCAGAGAGUCUCAGGAACUUCCCUGGAACUGCCUGGGAGUGUCAAGUUCAGCUUUUGUAUAAACGCUGGCAGGCGCCGGGAGCAGCUGGCUCUGGAGCCCUUUGGAGCACUGCGAUGUGUGGAUGUGAGACACAUGGCAGGGAGGAGACAGCGAUGCCGUGGAGGAGAGCCUCCAUCAGUGAGCCUGUGCUGCUAGUGCUGAGCUUGGCUGAGGUCAGAACACAAUUUUGCCUUAAUUUUCAGGCCCCGAACUGCCCCUGCAGCUGGCUACAUUUUUUUACUUCUAAGGAAUGAAAACCUAACAACAGAAAUCCCUUCUAACAAAGCAAACUGUGCUACACAUGAACUCAAUGUCGCAUCUCAACUCACCUUCAUUGCUUUUCCUACACUUCCAGAGAUGUCUGUGGCUUCUUCCCUCACGAUGGUCAGUGUUAGGAAUGGAGCUCAGUGAUGUUUUUUAACCUGCUCUUUACUAUUCACAGAAAUGUGAAUCCCAAAAUUUGUUACUGCAUGUGAAGUUUCUAAUAAAUAAGAGAUUUUGUUUUAUUAUUGAAA